AUGGAUGAUUGGCGAACGGGUGAGUAACACGUGAGUAACCUGCCCCUGACUUCGGGAUAAGCCCGGGAAACUGGGUCUAAUACCGGAUACGACUGCCGGACGCAUGUCUGGUGGUGGAAAGUUUUUUCGGUUGGGGAUGGGCUCGCGGCCUAUCAGUUUGUUGGUGAGGUAAUGGCUCACCAAGACGACGACGGGUAGCCGGCCUGAGAGGGCGACCGGCCACACUGGGACUGAGACACGGCCCAGACUCCUACGGGAGGCAGCAGUGGGGAAUAUUGCACAAUGGGGGAAACCCUGAUGCAGCGACGCAGCGUGCGGGAUGACGGCCUUCGGGUUGUAAACCGCUUUCAGCAGGGAAGAAGCGCAAGUGACGGUACCUGCAGAAGAAGUACCGGCUAACUACGUGCCAGCAGCCGCGGUAAUACGUAGGGUACGAGCGUUGUCCGGAAUUAUUGGGCGUAAAGAGCUCGUAGGUGGUUGGUCACGUCUGCUGUGGAAACGCAACGCUUAACGUUGCGCGUGCAGUGGGUACGGGCUGACUAGAGUGCAGUAGGGGAGUCUGGAAUUCCUGGUGUAGCGGUGAAAUGCGCAGAUAUCAGGAGGAACACCGGUGGCGAAGGCGGGACUCUGGGCUGUAACUGACACUGAGGAGCGAAAGCAUGGGGAGCGAACAGGAUUAGAUACCCUGGUAGUCCAUGCCGUAAACGUUGGGCACUAGGUGUGGGGGGCAUUCCACGUUCUCCGCGCCGUAGCUAACGCAUUAAGUGCCCCGCCUGGG
RNAcentral lists this ribosomal RNA (778 nucleotides) under Brevibacterium sp. 18. Its description in RNAcentral is "bacterial SSU rRNA". It matches the Rfam family "Bacterial small subunit ribosomal RNA", at positions 87 to 877 of the family's 1533-position model. The record is from RNAcentral. Lineage: Bacteria; Bacillati; Actinomycetota; Actinomycetes; Micrococcales; Brevibacteriaceae.